This 254-nucleotide ribosomal RNA is filed under the name uncultured bacterium. RNAcentral describes it as "partial 16S ribosomal RNA". It matches the Rfam family "Bacterial small subunit ribosomal RNA", at positions 524 to 776 of the family's 1533-position model. The record is from RNAcentral.
UACGGAGGGGGCGAGCGUUGUCCGAAUUUAUUGGGCGUAAAGCGCGUGUAGGCGGAUUUUCAAGCCUGAGGUGAAAGGUUGGGGCUCAACCCCAUACAGUGCCUUGGGGACUGAAAGUCUGGAGGCCGGCAGAGGAGAGUGGAAUUCCUGGUGUAGCGGUGGAAUGCGUAGAGAUCAGGAAGAACACCCAUGGCGAAGGCAGCUCUCUGGGCCGGUACUGACGCUGAGACGCGAAAGCGUGGGGAGCAAACAGG